CCCUUCGGGAGCCCAAGACAGGUGCUGCAUGGCUGUCGUCAGCUCGUGUCGUGAGAUGUUGGGUUAAGUCCCGCAACGAGCGCAACCCUUGUCUCUAGUUACCAUCAUUUGGUUGGGGACUCUAGAGAUACUGCCCCGGUUAACGGGGAGGAAGGUGGGGAUGACGUCAAGUCCUCAUGGCCCUUAUGCCCAGGGCUACACACGUGCUACAAUGGGCGGUACAAAGGGUAGCGAUGCCGCGAGGUGAAGCCAAUCCCAAAAAGCCGUCCACAGUUCGGAUUGGAGUCUGCAACUCGACUCCAUGAAGCCGGAAUCGCUAGUAAUCGUGGAUCAGCAUGCCACGGUGAAUACGUUCCCGGGCCUU
This 364-nucleotide ribosomal RNA is filed under the name uncultured Desulfobacterium sp. Its description in RNAcentral is "bacterial SSU rRNA". It matches the Rfam family "Bacterial small subunit ribosomal RNA", at positions 1017 to 1382 of the family's 1533-position model. The record is from RNAcentral. Lineage: Bacteria; Pseudomonadati; Thermodesulfobacteriota; Desulfobacteria; Desulfobacterales; Desulfobacteriaceae.